UAGGAGUCAAAGUGGUCGCCAUGGCCAA
RNAcentral lists this small RNA (28 nucleotides) under Bombyx mori (domestic silkworm). RNAcentral's name for it is "ovarian small RNA-22664". The record is from RNAcentral. Lineage: Eukaryota; Metazoa; Arthropoda; Insecta; Lepidoptera; Bombycidae.